CUUCCGGUUUCUCUCGAAACCAUUUCAAAUAUUCCUGAAACUAUUU
Non-coding RNA from Triticum aestivum (bread wheat), 46 nucleotides. The record is from Rfam. NCBI's taxonomy places the organism in Eukaryota, Viridiplantae, Streptophyta, Magnoliopsida, Poales, Poaceae.